GGUGAUGAAAGUGGGGUAGUGAUGAAAGUUGUGGUGGUGAUGAAAGUUGUGGUGGUGAUGAAAGAAGUGGUGGUGAUGAAUGUGGGGUAGUGAUGAAAGUUGUGGUGGUGAUGAAAGUUGUGGUGGUGAUGAAAGAAGUGGUGGUGAUGAAUGUGGGGUAGUGAUGAAAGUUGUGGUGGUGAUGAAAGAAGUGGUGGUGAUGAAUGUGGGGUAGUGAUGAAAGUUGUGGUAGUGAUGAUAGAAGUGGUGGUGAUGAAUGUGGGGUAGUGAUGAAAGUUGUGGUGGUGAUGAAAGAAGUGGUGGUGAUGAAUGUGGGGUAGUGAUGAAAGUUGUGGUGGUGAUGAAAGAAGUGGUGGUGAUGAAUGUGGGGUAGUGAUGAAAGUUGUGUGAUGAAAGAAGUGGUGGUGAUGA
Long non-coding RNA from Eriocheir sinensis (Chinese mitten crab), 411 nucleotides. RefSeq lists it as uncharacterized. The transcript is spliced from 3 exons. Lineage: Eukaryota; Metazoa; Arthropoda; Malacostraca; Decapoda; Varunidae. The record is from RefSeq and is a predicted model, not a curated record.